CAACGCCGCGUGAGGACGACGCCUCGGUUGUAAGCCUCUUUAGUAGGAAGAAGCGAAGUGACGGUACCUGCAGAAAAAGCACCGGCUAACUACGUGC
Molecule: ribosomal RNA, 97 nt
Filed under: uncultured bacterium
Lineage: Bacteria
Description: partial 16S ribosomal RNA
Source: RNAcentral